UAAUCUCAACUGGUAAAAUUGAG
Molecule: microRNA, 23 nt
Filed under: Capitella teleta
Lineage: Eukaryota; Metazoa; Annelida; Polychaeta; Capitellidae
Description: Cte-Mir-216-P2d_5p (mature (guide))
Source: RNAcentral